Molecule: ribosomal RNA, 254 nt
Filed under: uncultured bacterium
Lineage: Bacteria
Description: partial 16S ribosomal RNA
Rfam family: Bacterial small subunit ribosomal RNA
Source: RNAcentral
UACGUAGGACCCAAGCGUUAUCCGGAAUUACUGGGCGUAAAGAGUUGCGUAGGUGGCAGAGUAAGCAAACAGUGAAAUCAUGUGGCUCAACCAUAUGUCCAUUGUUUGAACUGCUCAGCUAGAGCAUGAGAGAGGUCGCUGGAAUUCCUAGUGUAGGAGUGAAAUCCGUAGAUAUUAGGAGGAACACCGAUGGCGUAAGCAGGCGACUGGCUCAUUGCUGACACUCAGGCACGAAAGCGUGGGGAGCGAACGGG